GCCCCAACCCCUCUCCC
This 17-nucleotide microRNA is filed under the name Corchorus capsularis. RNAcentral's name for it is "sRNA CCACVL1_13193". The record is from RNAcentral. Lineage: Eukaryota; Viridiplantae; Streptophyta; Magnoliopsida; Malvales; Malvaceae.